UACGUAGGGGGCAAGCGUUGUCCGGAAUCAUUGGGCGUAAAGCGCGUGUAGGCGGCUCGAUAAGUCUGCUGUGAAAGUUCAGGGCUCAACCCUGAAAUGCCGGUGGAAACUGUCGGGCUAGAGUCCGGAAGAGGCGAGUGGAAUUCCUGGUGUAGCGGUGAAAUGCGCAGAUAUCAGGAGGAACACCAAUGGCGAAGGCAGCUCGCUGGGACGGUACUGACGCUGAGACGCGAAAGCGUGGGGAGCAAGCAGG
RNAcentral lists this ribosomal RNA (253 nucleotides) under uncultured bacterium. Its description in RNAcentral is "partial 16S ribosomal RNA". It matches the Rfam family "Bacterial small subunit ribosomal RNA", at positions 524 to 776 of the family's 1533-position model. The record is from RNAcentral.